Molecule: ribosomal RNA, 364 nt
Filed under: uncultured bacterium
Lineage: Bacteria
Description: bacterial SSU rRNA
Rfam family: Bacterial small subunit ribosomal RNA
Source: RNAcentral
AACGAACGCUGGCGGCAGGCCUAACACAUGCAAGUCGAACGCCGUAGCAAUACGGAGUGGCAGACGGGUGAGUAACACGUGGGAACGUACCCUUCGGUUCGGGAUAACUCAGGGAAACUUGAGCUAAUACCGGAUACGUCCGAGAGGAGAAAGAUUUAUUGCCGAGGGAUCGGCCCCGCGUCUGAUUAGCUUGUUGGUGAGGUAACGGCUCACCAAGGCGACGAUCAGUAGCUGGUCNGAGAGGAUGAUCAGCCACAUUGGGACUGAGACACGGCCCAAACUCCUACGGGAGGCAGCAGUGGGGAAUAUUGGACAAUGGGCGCAAGCCUGAUCCAGCCAUGCCGCGUGAGUGAUGAAGGCCCUA